CGGUCCAGGCGUGCACCCAGGAGAUCUCCUUCGCUGGGUCGGAACCCUCCACUAGGACGACGGGGCCCACGGAGCAAACAGACUGAGGGCGGAAGACAAACGACUCGUCGUUUUUUUCGCCGGUGAGCAUGCGCAUCAAGAACUGGUGUGUCGGCGGACCAUGGAACCACCACUCGAGGUCGGCGGCGACGAUGGUGUGGACGGUGGCCACGUCACGGGAGCUCAAGGCGUCAUAGAGGGUCAGGACCAGCCGGUGAUUGCUGGAGUCGGAAUCGGAGUCGGGUUCUUGAGAUAACGCCAGUUCUAGCCUAAGCCCACGAGGCGGGUACAGAAAUCGAGGUGGGUUUGGAGAUGAAUGUGAAUGUGAAGCGAACAAGGAGAAGAGAGAGCUUGGGGUUUUUGUGUUGCAGGAUGAGGGUGGAUUUUAUAGCCAGGUAGAUGGGUGAUGAGGACGAUGGGCUUGGAAUCUCUACGGCCGUAUUUACGUUUUUGUCGAUCUUGCCGACCAAUGGGAAUGGUGGGAAUUGGUGGGGGUGACGUGGCGUGUUGUGAGUUGUGGUGUUGUGGUGGGGGGUGGCGUGUGGGAUUAUGAGCGCGUGCGAGGAAGGUGGAAGUGUGGGGGGACACGGAGAGUGAGGGAGUCAAGCCAACUUUAUUUGACCUAGUCGACCCCACAUUUCACACCUAAUUAACUGUGAUUAGUGGGUUAAUGAUUUUGGGCUUUAUUUGGAUUUAGUCUAAUUCCUUUACGCUAAUGGCUUCGUCGUCAGUAGCCACUCCUUUUUGGCCGGUGGUGGUCAGUAGCCUUUAACCGCCUCAAAAUCGAUUUUCGACUUUAAAACUUCUUUACAGCAGCAAUGUUAUCCGGUUACUAACUAACUACGAGAUUUAUGGUCAAUCCCGAUAGGUUUGUGUCAGUCAAAUUAGAGAUUAGAGUCAGAGAAUCUUAUCUAAUAGACUUAAAAUCGAUUUGGAAUCGAUUAUUAUGGUAAACUCUCUAUAUACGGGCAAAUUAGAGACUGAGUCAAAUUAUGUCACUAACUGAUCAAGAGAUUUAUGUUCAAUUCAAUCAUAAUAUGUAUGUAUCGGUCAAAUUAGAAUUGGGUUUGAUUUCUGUUCAUUUUCUAUUUUCUUCAUUUUCUCUAUGUACAAUGGUUUUGUUUGUAAGGAGUAAAGACCGUAUCAUAUCGUGACUGAUAUUAAUCUUGAUGGAAUUGGUAAUUUCUAAUUAAGAUGGAGAACUUGAAAAUCUUUUUAGAGGACACUACUGGAGAUCUUUCUAGGGUUUCAAAGGGGGCUAUACUCUUUUUCUCAAAGAGUAGGUGGAAAUUUAAUAAACUAUAGUCCUCGAUCACAAUCCUUGCAAUUACCUUUACUUAAACCAGACAUUGAGUAAAGAGAUGAUAUUUGAUAUCAAAUUACUAAAAACAGGUGGUUAAUUGAAAACUGAAACCGAGCGAUCGGUUUCGACUUUACGAAAGUAGCUAGGACUGUAGGAGGAAGAGCCCCUUAUGGAAACGAAGCAAGGAAUAAACCUUGUUUACGUGAAAGCGAGGCUUUGAAAAGUGGAACUUGAUGGAACCCCAUUCAUGGCAAUCCUGAUCAUGGUCCACAAAGUAGUGGCGUCAUGGACAAAUUGAACUAUAUUGGAAGGAAGCUAUUCCCUCCUUCCCUUUUUCCAGUAGGUAGUUGCAUUUUUGGUCUGAACCAGUAGGUAGUUGCUGAUAUGGACUAUCUAGUCACAGUAAUAACAAAGUGCCUUUCUUCACAGUUGAAAACCAAACCCAUGAUGAUUCUCCAUUGAUGGAUUCAAAGCUAGCUGCUUUGAUGUCACUGAACCAAAUCUGGGUGGCGUAUUUAUGAACAUGGAGUGUAGCAGUAGUCUUUAUAUGUAAUUUGUUGUAACCUCGCUUUUCAUCUAUCAUUACAAUUAAGCACAAUGUAACCUCAAAACAUUGACUCGCUGGGAGUUUGCAGCACAGCAAAGCACUUAUGUUUGCACAUUGGACUAUCAAAAUAGGGUUGCUAUCGGGGGAGUAAGCAAAGACAAAUCGAUUUUGUUUUCUUCAUAGCAAGAGGGUAGAAAAAGCUCAUAUACAGUACAAAAAUGCUAGACUGGACUCACACAAUCUGAUGUGUAACUCACUCAUUCUGUACCAUGCGAUCCUAAUCAGACAGCAAGAGUAGCUCAUGGUUAACCACCAAACAAUGAGUACUGGAGUUUCAUGACUGUCCCUGUACUCACUCUCUCGUCACUUUGAAAAGAACAGGUUUAGGUCUAGGUUAAAAUGUGCAAAGUUAAUUAGGUCAUGCAUAUUGAUUUUCAUGAUUUCCUUCAUCCCCAUAAUGGACAUAUAUGCCAUGUCUUAUCCCACUCCCACUGUCUCUAAUAUUGUCUUAUCCCACUCCCACUGUCUCUAAUAUUUUCCAAAGUGUCAUGGUAAGUGAUAUGGACUGGCACUAGUUGUGCAAUUAUAUACCAAAGUGCACCGAGAUAUUAGCCAUGCCACUCUCCCUGGAAUAGCAUCAUUUUGGAGAUGCUUAUGAUAAUAUGGAUCCAAAAUAGGGCAAAUUGCCAUUGACCCUUGUAAAUAGGUUUGGUCUUGGUCAGUUUAGUGAUUCAUUAGGGGUGAGUAGAAAGACCGGAGUUUGAAUCUUUUUUUUUUUUUUUGGUACAGACCAGAGUUUGAAUCUCUCCUUGCACUAGCAGCAAUCUUAUUCCUCCAAUUUGUUUCUCCAAUUCUAUACUAUUCCGAUCGACGUGUUCACGUAUAUAGGUUUUAUGUUAACGGUAACACAAGCAUAUAUAAGGUAUCAGAUCGGCAUUUAACGUCAAUUGUUGUAAUGUAGAUGAUAAUGCUAAUGGGAUCCGGAAAUUUUUCUUAUGGUCCUCUCCUCAUUUUGCCUCAUGGGACUAAUGCUGCUGAUGAUAUAAGCUUUUACUAGUUCCUAUUGUCAACUUGUGCAUAUUGCAAACUCAAGUGCAAUAUGCAAGAAAAAAGAAAUGCAUAGUAUAGAAAAGAAAAAAGGUUUGAACUCAAGUGCAGGUUAAAUACGAAUCGAGUCCUUAAAAUUAAGCUAAUUAGGAGCUUAAGAUAAUAGGACUACUUAGUGAAACUGUGAGAGGUGAAAAGAAUAAAGAUCCCAUGCCAAACAACAAAUUACCAUAAAAGAAGAAAUGAAUUACAUGCCAAAGGAAUAAAAUGAAACUAUAAAUUAGAGAGUUACAGACGAAGAAAUGACUUCGUAUAUAGGGAAAAGAAGUCACUUUGUACAUCAAUGAACUAUGUUGAGAUGUUUGAAACAUUUAGGCCUUCACAGCCGGCGCUUCCACAUCCACGCCGGAGUUAGGAUCCCUCUUCUGCAAGGGGCUGCAAGUUUUGUACACAACAGCAAUUGUAGCUGAACAAACAAUAAUCAACACACAUUUUCCGAUUGCCUCCCAAGGUCGUUCUGAAAUGCUGUAACACCACUGUAAACCACAAAGAACGUAUUGCGAAAAGCAUGUCACUUGGAAUAGAAUGACAAUGACCAUCAUAUGUGCCCGUUCAUGCGGCUUCUCUUCCCCAUUUUUGCAGUAAAACCUUCGAAGCUUCGAAACAUCUUCUGGUCUCCAUCUGCAUAGAAGAAAAAGGUGGUGGCACCACCUUGGAUGGUGGUACAAACACAGAAUGGUGAAGAGUAAAUUGAUGAUUUGGAUAUUUACUUCGAACCAUAAAUCGUGCUCGGACUUGGUUACUAGUUUGUGUUUCAAGAAUCCGGUUAGGAGAACAAGCAUGGAGGUAAAUGAAGCACAAACACAGAUGAACCACAGAAGAUGAAGCAUCUUCAAUGGCUGUCUGACCCAUGCUUUGAAAAGGUCCACUUUCUCUUUGAAGGAAGUCAUCUUGGAUUUUCCGGAGAAACAGAAAAUGCUUUAGGUGAAAUCUUCAGAAACUACUCGAGUAAAUCUAUUAUUGCCUUGAUCCUUGGUUACUUGGAAAUGUUGAGACAAAGAAAAUCUUCUUUUAAAGAGCAAUUUAAACAGUAGAAAAAAGAAUCAGAAUUGAAACUGCAGCCACAAGUCUGGUUUCUCAUUGUUGAAGAAACAAGAACACGUUCUAACAGUCUAAUUAUUUUUCAAAAAUCUGUUUGUAAUGUUCAACCCUAAAUGUCAGGGACACCACAAUCAUCUCCUCUGCUAUUUGUUUACAAUUGGUUGCGUCAUCAGUUAGAGACACCAAAAGGAUGAGAUUUACAAGUCCAGGGUGGUACACAAGUAACAAACGAAACUUCUAAAAACUUGCAGUCAAAAGCCACUGAAUUUAUAGUUGAACAAAUCAACUAAACCUCAAAAUCAUCUCUUAAACUAACAAAUUAUACAUAAUAUAUGACUAUAUGUGAAGAGAAUUUCAUGGUACCAACUACACGAGUAGCAUAAUGUCGAAAUAGAUAAUAAAAAAAAAAACACAUACAUAACAAUAAUUAACAUGACAGUGGUGUUUAUAUUGUCACCUAGUGACCAAGAAAAUCAUGGUCAAUCACCGUUGAAUGUAAAUCCAAAGGUGGAAAACGAAACAACUUAACUUUAAAAUAAUACUUCUCACCUUUAGAUUUACAUCAAACGGUGAUUGAUCAUGAUUUCCAUGAUUUGAUAGUGGAAAUAUGUUCAAAGUUUCGAUACUCUCUAAUUUACGGUCUCAUACAGCCUCAAAGUCUCAAACAGCAAGGAUAGACUGGAUGAUGACAUAAGCUUUUACCAGUCCAUGCUGUCAACUUGUGUAGGCAUGCCAAAAUUUCGAAUCAGUCUAUCUUUACGCAUGUCAAUAGACCCGUAUUAUGUAUGACUUGUAAUCUUGUAUGUAACAGAAAACUAAACUGGAAAAAAAAAAACAGAAAAAGAUUCAUAAAUAGCGAAAGAAUGGUGAAAAGAACAAUUUACCACACCAAGCAGGCAGAACAUUAAAACUCCUCGACUCUGCUUCUCAUAAGCAUUGUCUUUUGCAGUUGGUAUGCUUCCUGAAUUCAUCAACAGUGUGCGCAUCUAAGAACUUCUAAGCUUUUUCAAGUGUAUGAUUAAACCUCUAUAUCUAAUCCUUUUAUGGUCCAUGGAAAACAAGAACAGAUUAUUACUGUAUUACUUCUUGUCAUUCGCUUAAACUGUAUGUUAUUCUAAUAUAGUUCAUUGCUAACCCAACAGAAACUAUGCAAAAGUUACUAAAUCUGUAAGCAGACAAACUAAUUCUUGAGUUUUAAGUCAAAUGCAAUAGUAUUGCUCAGUGUUGGUACAGAAACAUUGAAACAAUGCUGGGUCAACAUAGGUAAUUUAAUCAGAGUUCCAAGUCAGAUAAGAAAAACAAAUUUCACCAAAAAAAGAACAACAAAAGCAAGAAAAUGAACAACGAUAUUACUUGGAAUAGAAAAGAUUGCUAACGUAGGAAUAUCUAAGCAGACAGAUUCUUCACGAACAAAGUACUGUUUAACUAUCGAUUCUCAUGUAUUAACUAUUGAAGAAACAUUUCAAAAGAAAAAAACAAAGAUGCAUCUCAACACAAAAGAUUCCUGGAAGUUUACAAAUAAAUCUACGGAAUUCAUGUACAGAUCACAAUACGAUGACAAUCUUAUGCCCAGUUUAUGGUGCUAUGUGGCUUCUCUCUGUAUCAAUGAGGGUGCAGGUGCGGUCAUAG
RNAcentral lists this long non-coding RNA (5666 nucleotides) under Fragaria vesca (wild strawberry). Its description in RNAcentral is "long non-coding RNA (FVES_LNC003842)". The record is from RNAcentral. Lineage: Eukaryota; Viridiplantae; Streptophyta; Magnoliopsida; Rosales; Rosaceae.